CUGCAGCCAGUUGAGCUGACUGAGUUCCUUUCCUCAUGGGGGCCCAGUGUGCAGUGGCUACAAACAGCAGCUUCUUUGGUAGUAUACUCAGCCUGUUUCUUUUUUUUUUUUUUGAGGCGGAGUUUCACUCUUGUUACCCAG
This 141-nucleotide small nucleolar RNA is filed under the name Saimiri boliviensis boliviensis (Bolivian squirrel monkey). RNAcentral's name for it is "Small nucleolar RNA SNORA70 (ENSSBOG00000019166.1)". It matches the Rfam family "Small nucleolar RNA SNORA70", at positions 1 to 107 of the family's 135-position model. From Rfam's summary of the family: snoRNA U70 seems to be exclusive to mammals and is a member of the H/ACA class of snoRNA which contain H (ANANNA) and ACA box motifs. The record is from Rfam by way of RNAcentral. Lineage: Eukaryota; Metazoa; Chordata; Mammalia; Primates; Cebidae.